GUGCACUGAAACAAACAACACGCCCAAUGGUUGCUUUUGCUUGUUGUUUU
This 50-nucleotide non-coding RNA is filed under the name Palpitomonas bilix. The record is from RNAcentral.